AUACAGAGGGUGCAAACGUUGCUCGGAUUUACUGGGCGUAAAGCGCGUGUAGGCGGGCAUGAUAGUCGGACGUGAAAGCCCUGGGCUCAACCCAGGAACUGCGUUCGAAACUCCAUGUCUAGAGUAGUGGAGAGGAAAGUAGAAUUCCCGGUGUAGAGGUGAAAUUCGUAGAUAUCGGGAGGAAUACCAGUGGCGAAGGCGGCUUUCUGGACACUUACUGACGCUGAGACGCGAAAGCGUGGGGAGCAAACAGGAUUAGAUACCCUGGUAGUCCACGCUGUAAACGAUGUGUGCUAGGUGUCGCGGAAUUUGACUUCUGCGGUGCCGUAGCUAACGCGUUAAGCACACCGCCUGGGGAGUACGGCCGCAAGGCUAAA
This 377-nucleotide ribosomal RNA is filed under the name uncultured bacterium. RNAcentral's name for it is "bacterial SSU rRNA". It matches the Rfam family "Bacterial small subunit ribosomal RNA", at positions 523 to 898 of the family's 1533-position model. The record is from RNAcentral.